RNAcentral lists this ribosomal RNA (253 nucleotides) under uncultured bacterium. Its description in RNAcentral is "partial 16S ribosomal RNA". It matches the Rfam family "Bacterial small subunit ribosomal RNA", at positions 524 to 776 of the family's 1533-position model. The record is from RNAcentral.
UACGUAGGGGGCGAGCGUUGUCCGGAUUUAUUGGGCGUAAAGAGCGUGUAGGCGGCCAGGUAGGUCCGUUGUGAAAACUCGAGGCUCAACCUCGAGACGUCGAUGGAAACCAUCUGGCUAGAGUCCGGAAGAGGAGAGUGGAAUUCCUGGUGUAGCGGUGAAAUGCGCAGAUAUCAGGAAGAACACCUAUGGCGAAGGCAGCUCUCUGGGACGGUACUGACGCUGAGACGCGAAAGCGUGGGGAGCGAUCAGG